Molecule: long non-coding RNA, 314 nt
Filed under: Sorghum bicolor (sorghum)
Lineage: Eukaryota; Viridiplantae; Streptophyta; Magnoliopsida; Poales; Poaceae
Description: long non-coding RNA (SBIC_LNC007046)
Source: RNAcentral
CUCCCUUAACUUUUGAAACUAUACGUUUUACCUCCUUGGCCCAGUUAUCAACGAUUUUAAAGACGAUUUUGUCUUUUUCUUUUUUAUUUAUUUUGGCUGAAUCUUUAAAAAAAUCAUAGUAAAUCAUAAAAAAAAUCAUAAAAUAGAACAUCCAAUUUUGUUAGACUCAACAUGAGUAGAUCUACACGGUAAACAUAUAAUAUGAUAUGCUUUAGUAUAAAAUUUUUGUUGUAGAUUUUGAUCUAUUUUUUUGUAAUUAAUUUUUGCUGCAGUUUCUAUGGUCCAAUUGUAGUAAAAUUUUUAUAGUGGCCUAG